Molecule: ribosomal RNA, 253 nt
Filed under: uncultured bacterium
Lineage: Bacteria
Description: partial 16S ribosomal RNA
Rfam family: Bacterial small subunit ribosomal RNA
Source: RNAcentral
UACGUAGGGGGCUAGCGUUGUCCGGAAUCAUUGGGCGUAAAGAGCGUGUAGGCGGUCCGGUAAGUCCGCUGUGAAAGUCGGGGGCUCAACCCUCGAAUGCCGGUGGAUACUGUCGGGCUAGAGUACGGAAGAGGCGAGUGGAAUUCCUGGUGUAGCGGUGAAAUGCGCAGAUAUCAGGAGGAACACCUAUUGCGAAAGCAGCUCGCUGGGACGGUACUGACGCUGAGACGCGAAAGCGUGGGGAGCAAACAGG